RNAcentral lists this ribosomal RNA (467 nucleotides) under uncultured bacterium. RNAcentral's name for it is "partial 16S ribosomal RNA". It matches the Rfam family "Bacterial small subunit ribosomal RNA", at positions 28 to 506 of the family's 1533-position model. The record is from RNAcentral.
GACGAACGCUAGCGGCGUGCUUAACACAUGCAAGUCGAACGGAAAGGCCCUGCUUUUGUGGGAUGCCCGAGUGGCGAACGGGUGAGUCACACGCAAGUAACCUGCCAUUUACUUUUGGAUAACUUCAGGAAACUGGGGUUCAUACCGGAUUGGAGCUCCUGCUGCGUGGUGGGGGUUGGAAAGUUUCGGCGGUUGGGGAUGGACUCGCGGCUUAUCUGCUUGUUGGUGGGGUAGUGGCUGACCAAGGCUUUGACGGGUAGCCGGCCUAAGAGGGUGACCGGCCACAGUGGGACUGAGAUACGGACCAGGCUCCGACGGGAGGCAGCAGUGGGGAAGAUUGCAGAAUGAGCGGAAGCCUGAGGCAGAAACGCGGCGUGUGGAAUGUCGGCCGUCGGUGUGUAAACAGCUUUCGCCGGUGACGAAGCGUGAGUGACGGAAAUUAGUAAAGAAGCACCGGCUAACUACGU